This 65-nucleotide transfer RNA is filed under the name Catomerus polymerus. RNAcentral describes it as "tRNA-Trp". It matches the Rfam family "tRNA". Rfam says of the family: Transfer RNA (tRNA) molecules are approximately 80 nucleotides in length. Their secondary structure includes four short double-helical elements and three loops (D, anti-codon, and T loops). Lineage: Eukaryota; Metazoa; Arthropoda; Thecostraca; Balanomorpha; Catophragmidae. The record is from RNAcentral.
AAUGUUUUAGGUUAAGUAAACCAACAGCCUUCAAAGCUGUGAAUGGGAUUCCAUCCCAAACAUUA